This 489-nucleotide ribosomal RNA is filed under the name uncultured bacterium. RNAcentral's name for it is "bacterial SSU rRNA". It matches the Rfam family "Bacterial small subunit ribosomal RNA", at positions 8 to 526 of the family's 1533-position model. The record is from RNAcentral.
AGAGUUUGAUCAUGGCUCAGCCUGAACGCUGGCGGCGUGGCUAAGACAUGCAAGUCGAACGGGUAGCAAUACCAGUGGCGGACGGGUGAGUAAUGAAUCGCUAACGUACCCUUAGGUCAGGGAUAGCCAGCCGAAAGGCUGGGUAAUACCUGAUGUUUUAACCCUUGGGCAUCCUCGGGUUCACAAAGCCGCAAGGCGCCUUUGGAGCGGGCGAUUUCGUAUCAGGUAGUUGGUGAGGUAACGGCUCACCAAGCCGACGACGCGUAGCCGGGCUGAGAGGUUGGCCGGCCACAUUGGGACUGAGACACUGCCCAGACUCCUACGGGGGGCUGCAGUAACGAAUCUUCCGCAAUGCACGAAAGUGUGACGGAGCGACGCCGCGUGUAGGACGAAGCCCUUCGGGGUGUAAACUACUGUCAGGGGAAAGAAAGUUCUGAUCUACCCCAGAGGAAGAGACGGCUAACUCUGUGCCAGCAGCCGCGGUAAUUC